RNAcentral lists this ribosomal RNA (425 nucleotides) under uncultured bacterium. RNAcentral's name for it is "bacterial SSU rRNA". It matches the Rfam family "Bacterial small subunit ribosomal RNA", at positions 356 to 773 of the family's 1533-position model. The record is from RNAcentral.
AAGGAAUAUUGGACAAUGGACGCAAGUCUGAUCCAGCCAUGCCGCGUGUGUGAAGAAGGCCUUCGGGUUGUAAAGCACUUUAAGCGGGGAGGAAGGCCUGAUGGCUAAUAUCCAUCGGGAUUGACGUUACCCGCAGAAUAAGCACCGGCAAACUUCGUGCCAGCAGCCGCGGUAAUACGAAGGGUGCGAGCGUUAAUCGGAAUUACUGGGCGUAAAGCGCGCGUAGGUGGUUAAGUAAGCGAUCUGUGAAAGCCCCGGGCUUAACCUGGGAACUGCAGGUCGAACUGCUUGGCUAGAGUAUGGUAGAGGGGUGUGGAAUUUCCUGUGUAGCGGUGAAAUGCGUAGAUAUAGGAAGGAACAUCAGUGGCGAAGGCGACACCCUGGACCGAUACUGACACUGGGGCGCGAAAGCGUGGGUAGCGAAC